UUGAUGACUAAAAUGUGAAAUAAGUUUAAAAAACUUAAUUGGUAAGGUGUGAUGGGUUUUCAAAGAAAGCCCCCGAUUAGCGAGUCCAAUUUUGUGGCCCAUAAUGAUAACGAGGCCGGGUCUUCGAACAACUAAGUUUCAUUUCAUAUAUAAAUCACAGAUUAGGGUUUUAUCAGUGAAUAACUCACAGUCACACAGAGAAAUCUAGAGAGAACAGGGCGAGUGUGUUAUACGCGCCGCCAAUAUGGGUAUUUCUAGGGAUUCCAUGCAUAAGAGGCGUGCCACUGGUGGCAAAAAGAAGGCAUGGAGAAAGAAGAGAAAGUAAUACAUCUUUUUUUAUUAUUUUGGAUUUUAUGUAUAUUUUAGUUUAUUUUGUUUGACAAUUUUGGUUUUGAUUUUUUUGAUGAAUAACAUGUUUGUCUUGUUUAGUAUUUGAAAUAUGAAUGGAAAUAAUAGCAUUUUGAAAAUGAGUGUGGCUGUUAAGUAUCCUAUGUGAUUUUUGAUAGAAUGCAAUCUGUGGUAUCUUAUUGAUUUAACAAGGUAAAUGGGAGUUACAAAAGGGUUAGUGCAUUAUUAAUCCACUAAGUAUUGUACAAAAAUAAGACUUGUUUUGAGACUGAAGCUGAUUUUUUCAUUCUGUUUAUAGUUGUAUUUUUUGUUUAUCUUGUAAACUGCAUAUUCACAUGCAAGAGUAGUGCUGUGUACAUCUAUUACACUCCCUAGACCUUAUUAAGUGGGAGCCUAGUGUGCUAGCUGCCCUUUCGUCCCAUAUGAUGCUAUACGAAAGAGCAUGGAAAAUUUUAUUUUUCUAUUACCGUUGUUGUUUUGUGGCACAAUUUGUAUAUGCCUUUUCCUGCUAUGACAGCUGGUUUUCUUUUCAAAAUUCACAUAGAUGAAAUUGGAAUUUAAACUGAGAGUAAUAGAGGGUGAAUAUUGAAUUCUAUUCAAUCUCUGCAAAUAAGAUCCUAAGCUG
Non-coding RNA from Lupinus albus (white lupine), 973 nucleotides. The record is from the annotation of a GenBank genome assembly. Lineage: Eukaryota; Viridiplantae; Streptophyta; Magnoliopsida; Fabales; Fabaceae.